This is a long non-coding RNA of Quercus robur (English oak), 1218 nucleotides long. RefSeq lists it as uncharacterized. Lineage: Eukaryota; Viridiplantae; Streptophyta; Magnoliopsida; Fagales; Fagaceae. The record is from RefSeq and is a predicted model, not a curated record. The transcript has 3 exons.
GGCUCUCUAAACAAAACCCUCAAAUCACAGCUAAAACCAUACAAGAACCAGACAACCGCAGCGGCACACCCACAACCUCAAAUCGGCGGCGCUUCUUCUCAUCCAAUCCAACUCGUCGGCGUCGCUCCCUAGUUUCGUCUCUUCCAAUCCAUCCUCAAAUCGGCGACGCACUCAUAUCCAAUCCAACUCGGCGGCGCUUCAACUCUUCCCGUACGACUUGGCGGCGCUUCUUUUCUGCCAUUCUAAAUCGGCAGAACCACCCACAAUCUUCAGGCAUGAUAUAAUUGCUCAAAUAUAUUAUGCAAGGAGACUUUCAGAGAAGCUGCAUCCUGUUGCUAGAAUGAUAGAACUUCAUGGAGGUCAUCUAGCGAGCCAUGAGAGGACCGAAGAGGUCAAUCAAGCAAUUCUUGAAUUAAUCAAGGCAUUAGAAGUGAGUAUCAAUCCUAAUGAAUGGACUAAUUUGCCAAAGAAAAAGUCUGGUAAGUAUUCCACAUUGAAGACAAAAGCCUCUCUUUCUUCCUUUGAUUGGAUUGACAUCAUGACCUUUAGCUGUAGCUCAGGAGUCAUUAUCCAAUACUAUCAGAGCACCACAAUCCCUACUUACAUAAAAUAGGGCCUUGCAUGUGAGUUCACAGAUAGGAGUAGGACAGAUAUGCAAGUAAAUAGGAAGUAUAGUGCUGUAGGAGUGCCCAAUAAUUCCUUAUAGCACUUAGAAAGUUAGAAGUACAUUCUAGUUUUAGCCCUACAGCCAUUGCAUAUCAAUAUUGUGGAUAAAGUGAUCUAGAAAUAUAACCUAAUGUCAGGAAAUUCACUGCACCGGAAUUUCUUAACUAUAACUAUAAUUCUAGAUUUCAGUAUGCUGUGAUAAAACUAGCUCAACUGCUAACCAGGGUUAUUGCUCGGAGUAUACCAUAAUAAGAGCUUAUCCAUCAUAGCUUCAGGGUGUAACCAAGUUGAACUAAGACGAGCUAUGUUUUAUGAUAUUGAAUGUUGGGCUAUUAAUAAGUAACAUUUUCAUAAAAUGAGACUUUUUGUUGUUGUAUCUCAUAAAAUUAACCUCAAUAGACUAGUUGAACAACUUUUGAUGAAUCUAACUACUGACCAAAACACUGCUGUUACUUAAAUCAUAAGUAACAAACUAACAAUAACCAAAUCACAUAUGCAGUAUAAAAUUCUACAUUCUAUUUUGAAAUCAUGUGUUGAUACAUGUUGCUUUUU